Molecule: small nuclear RNA, 116 nt
Organism: Pteropus vampyrus (large flying fox)
Lineage: Eukaryota; Metazoa; Chordata; Mammalia; Chiroptera; Pteropodidae
Gene: U5
Rfam family: U5 spliceosomal RNA
About the family: U5 RNA is a component of both types of known spliceosome. The precise function of this molecule is unknown, though it is known that the 5' loop is required for splice site selection and p220 binding, and that both the 3' stem-loop and the Sm site are important for Sm protein binding and cap methylation.
Source: Ensembl
AUGCUCUGGUUUUUCUUCAGAUUGCACAAAUCUUUUGCCUUUUACUAAAGAUUUCCAUGGAGAGAUUAGAGGUUAAAAGCAGCUUAGUUUACUGAAUAACUAGCAACGACUGGGUU